UCGAACGCGAAAGUCCCCUUCGGGGGACAAGUAGAGUGGCGCCCGGGUGAGUAACACGUAGGUAAUCUACCUUCGGGUGGGGAAUAACGCAGGGAAACUUGCGCUAAUACCGCAUAAUGCAGCGGCACCACAUGGUGACAGUUGUUAAAGCGGGGGAUUUUCGAACCUCGCGCCUGAAGAGGAGCCUGCGGCGGAUUAGCUAGUUGGUAAGGUAACGGCUUACCAAGGCGACGAUCCGUAACCGGCCUGAGAGGGCGGUCGGUCACACUGACACUGACAUACGGGUCAGACUCCUACGGGAGGCAGCAGUCGGGAAUUUUGGGCAAUGGGCGAAAGCCUGACCCAGCAACGCCGCGUGAAGGAUGAAAUCCCUCGGGAUGUAAACUUCGCAAGAAUGGGAAGAAUAGACGAGUACUAAUACUGCUCGUGAUGACGGUACCAUUUGUAAGCUCCGGCUAACUCCGUGCCAGCAGCCGCGGUAAUACGGGGGGAGCAAGCGUUGUUCGGAUUUACUGGGCGUAAAGGGCGCGUAGGCGGCCAGCGCAAGUCAGUUGUGAAAUCUCCGGGCUUAACUCGGAAAGGUCAACUGAUACUGCGCGGCUAGAGUGCAGAAGGGGCAACUGGAAUUCUCGGUGUAGCGGUGAAAUGCGUAGAUAUCGAGAGGAACACCUGCGGCGAAGGCGGGUUGCUGGGCUGACACUGACGCUGAUGCGCGAAAGCCAGGGGAGCGAACGGGAUUAGAUACCCCGGUAGUCCUGGCCUUAACGAUGGAUGCUUG
Molecule: ribosomal RNA, 778 nt
Filed under: uncultured bacterium
Lineage: Bacteria
Description: bacterial SSU rRNA
Rfam family: Bacterial small subunit ribosomal RNA
Source: RNAcentral